CAGCAGCCAGAUGCAAAGUGUCCUGUUGACCACCGUAGACAAGAUCCCAUGGAACUGAUAGAGGAUUUUGUGUUCUAUUGACCGAAGAGGCUCCUGGCAGGGCCCGGGGAACAAGGAGGCCAGGUGGAGGUUCCUAGCAGACACAGCUCCAGGAGUUUGGCCCUGAGCUAACAUCUGCUGCCAAUCCUUUCUUUUUGGCUGAGGAAGACUGGCCCUGAACUCCGUGCCCGUCUUCCUCUACUUUCUAUGUGGGAUGCCUACCAGAGCAUGGCUUUUGCCAAGCGGUGCCAUGUCUGCACCCGGGAUCCGAAACGGCGAACCCCAGGCCGCAGAAGCGGAAUGUGCACACUUAACUGCUGCACCACCAGCCGGCCUCUCAAGUUAACACAUUUUAAAGAUAGAGUUAAGAAUUAUUCCCAUUAACCUCACUUCUUAAUGCACAGUAGCCAAUUAAUAAAUAUUGACCAAUCAUUCUA
RNAcentral lists this long non-coding RNA (476 nucleotides) under Equus caballus (horse). Its description in RNAcentral is "lncRNA (ENSECAG00000058235.1)". Lineage: Eukaryota; Metazoa; Chordata; Mammalia; Perissodactyla; Equidae. The record is from RNAcentral.